AUACGGAGGAUCCGAGCGUUAUCCGGAUUUAUUGGGUUUAAAGGGUGCGCAGGCGGGAGAUUAAGUCGGCGGGGAAAUUUUGCAGCUCAACUGUAAAAGUGCCUUCGAAACUGGUUUCCUUGAGUGUAGAUGAAGUAGGCGGAAUUUGUGGUGUAGCGGUGAAAUGCAUAGAUAUCACGAGGAACUCCGAUUGCGCAGGCAGCUUACUAAACUACUACUGACGCUCAGGCACGAAGGCGUGGGGAUCAAACAGGAUUAGAUACCCUGGUAGUCCACGCAGUAAACGAUGAUUACUAGCUGUUUGCGAUACAAUGUAAGCGGCUGAGCGAAAGCGUUAAGUAAUCCACCUGGGGAGUACGACCGCAAGGUUGAAACUCAAAGGAAUUGACGGGG
This 393-nucleotide ribosomal RNA is filed under the name uncultured bacterium. RNAcentral describes it as "partial 16S ribosomal RNA". It matches the Rfam family "Bacterial small subunit ribosomal RNA", at positions 523 to 918 of the family's 1533-position model. The record is from RNAcentral.